CAGUAGCCGCGGUAAUACGGAGGGUGCAAGCGUUAAUCGGAAUUACUGGGCGUAAAGCGUGCGUAGGCGGUUUGUUAAGUCUGCUGUGAAAUCCCCGGGCUCAACCUGGGAAUGGCAGUGGAUACUGGCAAGCUAGAGUGUGUCAGAGGAUGGUGGAAUUCCCGGUGUAGCGGUGAAAUGCGUAGAGAUCGGGAGGAACAUCAGUGGCGAAGGCGGCCAUCUGGGACAACACUGACGCUGAGGCACGAAAGCGUGGGGAGCAAACAGGAUUAGAUACCCCUGUAGUCCCUGUCUCUUAUAC
Molecule: ribosomal RNA, 301 nt
Filed under: uncultured bacterium
Lineage: Bacteria
Description: partial 16S ribosomal RNA
Rfam family: Bacterial small subunit ribosomal RNA
Source: RNAcentral